CUUGCAAACGGCGUUCGCGCCACUGAGUGGCCUGGAACGCUAUUUCAGAGGGGCGAAUCUCAAAAAGGGCAAAGCGUUAGUGGGCGCGAGGCAUAUCCACGGCGUGCGGGAAAUACGUGACACGACGGCUACUGUGAUUGAAGGCUUUUGCGUGCCACAGACAAAGAUAAACAACUGCAGCCAUCAAGUGACACUUCACUUUGACGCGGAUCAGCGAAGCCAAGAUAUCUGCAGGAAGCGACAUGUACCUGCAAGGCAGGGGCUGCUGGCAAGUGCAAGCACGCAGCUGCUGUAGCUCUUUAUGUGCAGGCUGAGGAAUCUUCAUCGAAAACAAGUCGUGCACGGGAGUGGGGCAUUCCUUCCCGUACCAAACCACAAUGCCCGAAGUUCGUUCGAGCUUCUGCAGAUAUCAGCACAGCGGUCAAUAUGGUCAAUACCUUGCCUGUGCGAACAUCAGCGCCAUGGCAUAUGGUAUAGCCAUGGAGGCGGUGGCAAGACAGAAUUUU
Molecule: long non-coding RNA, 506 nt
Organism: Ornithodoros turicata
Lineage: Eukaryota; Metazoa; Arthropoda; Arachnida; Ixodida; Argasidae
Exons: 3
Source: RefSeq, a predicted model, not a curated record